RNAcentral lists this ribosomal RNA (253 nucleotides) under uncultured bacterium. RNAcentral's name for it is "partial 16S ribosomal RNA". It matches the Rfam family "Bacterial small subunit ribosomal RNA", at positions 524 to 776 of the family's 1533-position model. The record is from RNAcentral.
UACGAGUGCUCCAAGCGUUAUCCGGAAUUAUUGGGCGUAAAGGGUGUGUAGGCGGUUUGGUUAGUCUUCUGUUAAAUUCUUCGGCUUAACCGGGGGUCUGCAGGGGAAACGGCCAAACUAGAGGAUGCGAGAGGUAUAUGGAACUCAUGGAGUAGGGGUGAAAUCCGUUGAUAUCAUGGGGAACACCAAAUGCGAAGGCAGUAUACUGGCGCACUCCUGACACUGAGACACGAAAGCGUGGGCAGCGAAUGGG